GAUGAACGCUGGCGGCGUGCCUAAUACAUGCAAGUCGAGCGAACAGACGAGGAGCUUGCUCCUUUGACGUUAGCGGCGGACGGGUGAGUAACACGUAGGUAACCUACCUAUAAGACUGGGAUAACUUCGGGAAACCGGAUCUAAUACCGGAUAAUAUUUCGAACCGCAUGGUUCGAUAGUGAAAUAUGGCUUUGCUAUCACUUAUAGAUGGACCUGCGCCGUAUUAGCUAGUUGGUAAGGUAACGGCUUACCAAGGCAACGAUACGUAGCCGACCUGAGAGGGUGAUCGGCCACACUGGAACUGAGACACGGUCCAGACUCCUACGGGAGGCAGCAGUAGGGAAUCUUCCGCAAUGGGCGAAAGCCUGACGGAGCAACGCCGCGUGAGUGAUGAAGGUCUUCGGAUCGUAAAACUCUGUUAUUAGGGAAGAACAAACGUGUAAGUAACUGUGCACGUCUUGACGGUACCUAAUCAGAAAGCCACGGCUAACUACGUG
Molecule: ribosomal RNA, 497 nt
Filed under: uncultured bacterium
Lineage: Bacteria
Description: partial 16S ribosomal RNA
Rfam family: Bacterial small subunit ribosomal RNA
Source: RNAcentral